GAUGAACGCUGGCGGCGUGCUUAACACAUGCAAGUCGAACGAUGAAGCCCAGCUUGCUGGGUGGAUUAGUGGCGAACGGGUGAGUAACACGUGAGUAACCUGCCCUUAACUCUGGGAUAAGCCUGUUAAACUGGGUCUAAUACCGGAUAGGAGCUUCCACCGCAUGGUGGGUGUUGGAAAGAUUUAUCGGUUUUGGAUGGACUCGCGGCCUAUCAGCUUGUUGGUGAGGUAAUGGCUCACCAAGGCGACGACGGGUAGCCGGCCUGAGAGGGUGACCGGCCACACUGGGACUGAGACACGGCCCAGACUCCUACGGGAGGCAGCAGUGGGGAAUAUUGCACAAUGGGCGCAAGCCUGAUGCAGCGACGCCGCGUGAGGGAUGACGGCCUUCGGGUUGUAAACCUCUUUCAGUAGGGAAGAAGCGAAAGUGACGGUACCUGCAGAAGAAGCACCGGCUAACUACGUG
This 466-nucleotide ribosomal RNA is filed under the name uncultured bacterium. RNAcentral's name for it is "partial 16S ribosomal RNA". It matches the Rfam family "Bacterial small subunit ribosomal RNA", at positions 28 to 507 of the family's 1533-position model. The record is from RNAcentral.